UACGUAGGGUGCGAGCGUUGUCCGGAAUUACUGGGCGUAAAGAGCUCGUAGGUGGUUUGUCGCGUUGUUCGUGAAAACUCACAGCUUAACUGUGGGCGUGCGGGCGAUACGGGCAGACUGGAGUACUGCAAGGGAGACUGGAAUUCCUGGUGUAGCGGUGGAAUGCGCAGAUAUCAGGAGGAACACCGGUGGCGAAGGCGGGUCUCUGGGCAGUAACUGACGCUGAGGAGCGAAAGCGUGGGGAGCGAACAGG
This 253-nucleotide ribosomal RNA is filed under the name uncultured bacterium. Its description in RNAcentral is "partial 16S ribosomal RNA". It matches the Rfam family "Bacterial small subunit ribosomal RNA", at positions 524 to 776 of the family's 1533-position model. The record is from RNAcentral.